AUGCCCUUCCGUGCGCGUCUGAUCCUUGAUGGCGAAGCCUGGUUCGACGGGGCUUGCAACGCUCUGGGAGCGCUCUGCAUCGGCGAUGCCCCUCCGGGUUUUGGCGCUCCUGCGACACCUUCUCUGUCCGGCUUGGCGCCUGUGAGCCUCUGCACUCCCGUGCGCUCUGAGACGACCGCGGUCGACUCUCCGCCUGGCAGCGGACCCAUGAUCACUCCGGUGGCCUCUCCCCUACCUCCGGCGGCGCUCCUGGGUCUCUACCCCGCGGCCUCCCCUGCCCGUGCGAGUCUCGCAGGUGCCACCGUUGUGCCGACGACGCUGGUCUCCUCUCCGGCCUCCCCUGCCCAGGCGGACCUCCUUGGCGCCUCUGCCGCGGUGCCGGAGGGCGCCUUCAUGCCUGCUGCCGAUGCAGUUCUAGGGGGUGCUGACACGCUUGCUGUCGGCGAGCUUGGCCGGUUCCUAGACUCCAUCGCUGCCCCCCUGCAGCGCCCCUGUUGCCUGCCCCGGUGCGGAAGCCUACCAGAACUCGUGGAGCCAGAGGCGUCAACCUCUCCUCGCCUCGCAGGAGCGGGAGGAUCGCCCGAAAGAAGACGCGACAGUGCCUCCAGGGUAGCUCGGUGGUCCAGGAGAUGA
RNAcentral lists this ribosomal RNA (633 nucleotides) under Triticum aestivum (bread wheat). RNAcentral's name for it is "partial small subunit ribosomal RNA". The record is from RNAcentral. Lineage: Eukaryota; Viridiplantae; Streptophyta; Magnoliopsida; Poales; Poaceae.